RNAcentral lists this ribosomal RNA (1363 nucleotides) under Candidatus Phytoplasma mali. Its description in RNAcentral is "bacterial SSU rRNA". It matches the Rfam family "Bacterial small subunit ribosomal RNA", at positions 173 to 1533 of the family's 1533-position model. The record is from RNAcentral. Lineage: Bacteria; Bacillati; Mycoplasmatota; Mollicutes; Acholeplasmatales; Acholeplasmataceae.
GGAAGUUUUAAGGCAUCUUGAAACUUUUAAAAGACCCGCAAGGGUAUGCUAAGAGAUGGGCUUGCGGCACAUUAGUUAGUUGGUAAGGUAACGGCUUACCAAGACUAUGAUGUGUAGCUGGACUGAGAGGUUGAACGGCCACAUUGGGAUUGAGAUACGGCCCAAACUCCUACGGGAGGCAGCAGUAAGGAAUUUUCGGCAAUGGAGGAAACUCUGACCGAGCAACGCCGCGUGAACGAUGAAAUAUUUAGGUAUGUAAAGUUCUUUUAUUAAAGAAGAAAAAAUGAUGGAAAAAUCAUUCUGACGGUAUUUAAUGAAUAAGCCCCGGCUAACUAUGUGCCAGCAGCUGCGGUAAUACAUGGGGGGCAAGCGUUAUCCGGAUUUAUUGGGCGUAAAGGGUGUGUAGGCGGUUUAAUAAGUCUAUGGUAUAAGUUCAACGCUUAACGUUGUGAUGCUAUGGAAACUGUUUGACUAGAGUUGGAUAGAGGCAAGUGGAAUUCCAUGUGUAGCGGUAAAAUGCGUAAAUAUAUGGAGGAACACCAGUAGCGAAGGCGGCUUGCUGGGUCUUAACUGACGCUGAGGCACGAAAGCGUGGGGAGCAAACAGGAUUAGAUACCCUGGUAGUCCACGCCGUAAACGAUGAGUACUAAGUGUUGGGUUAAACCAGUGCUGAAGUUAACACAUUAAGUACUCCGCCUGAGUAGUACGUACGCAAGUAUGAAACUUAAAGGAAUUGACGGGACUCCGCACAAGCGGUGGAUCAUGUUGUUUAAUUCGAAGAUACACGAAAAACCUUACCAGGUCUUGACAUACUCUGCAAAGCUAUAGAAAUAUAGUGGAGGUUAUCAGGGAUACAGGUGGUGCAUGGUUGUCGUCAGCUCGUGUCGUGAGAUGUUGGGUUAAGUCCCGCAACGAGCGCAACCCUUAUCGCUAGUUACCAUCAUUUAGUUGGGCACUUUAGUGAGACUGCCAAUGAUAAAUUGGAGGAAGGUGGGGAUUACGUCAAAUCAUCAUGCCCCUUAUGACCUGGGCUACAAACGUGAUACAAUGGCUGUUACAAAGAGUAGCUGAAGCGUGAGUUUUUAGCAAAUCUCAAAAAAACAGUCUCAGUUCGGAUUGAAGUCUGCAACUCGACUUCAUGAAGUCGGAAUCGCUAGUAAUCGCGAAUCAGCAUGUCGUGGUGAAUACGUUCUCGGGGUUUGUACACACCGCCCGUCAAACCAUGAAAGUUGACAAUACUCGAAACCAGUAGCCUAACUUGCAAAAGAGGGAACUGUCUAAGGUAGGGUCGAUGAUUGGGGUUAAGUCGUAACAAGGUAUCCCUACCGGAAGGUGGGGAUGGAUCACCUCCUUUCUAAGGAAA